AUUGCUUCUUGGCCUUUUGGCUAAGACCAAGUGUAGUAUCUUUUCUUAUCAGUUUAAUAUUUGAUACAUCCUCUAUCCGAAGACAAUAUAUUAAAUGGAUUUUUGGAACUAGGAAUUGGAAUAGGAGCUUGCUCUGUCCACUCCGUGCAUCAACCUGGUAUUGCAGUACCUCCAGGAAUGGUGCACAAAAC
This 191-nucleotide small nuclear RNA is filed under the name Nannospalax galili (Upper Galilee mountains blind mole rat). RNAcentral's name for it is "U2 spliceosomal RNA (ENSNGAG00000004219.1)". It matches the Rfam family "U2 spliceosomal RNA". Rfam says of the family: U2 is a small nuclear RNA (snRNA) component of the spliceosome (involved in pre-mRNA splicing). Complementary binding between U2 snRNA (in an area lying towards the 5' end but 3' to hairpin I) and the branchpoint sequence (BPS) of the intron results the bulging out of an unpaired adenosine, on the BPS, which initiates a nucleophilic attack at the intronic 5' splice site, thus starting the first of two transesterification reactions that mediate splicing. Lineage: Eukaryota; Metazoa; Chordata; Mammalia; Rodentia; Spalacidae. The record is from Rfam by way of RNAcentral.